Molecule: ribosomal RNA, 122 nt
Filed under: Candidatus Geothermarchaeota archaeon
Lineage: Archaea; Thermoproteati; Candidatus Geothermarchaeota
Also listed under: 1 other name
Source: RNAcentral
GUGGCCGGCCAUACCAUCCCAGGGUACGCCCGAACCCAUUCCGAACUCGGAAGCUAAGCUGGGAUGGGCCGAUCUGAGUAGUGGGCUCCGAGAGGGCCCGCGAAAAGACGGUGCUGGCCACC